UGACGCAAUAAAGGAAAGAAUCUAAGAAAGGUUUUGAUAUCAGUUGCCAACACUACGAUAGCAAGAUAGCAAAGUCCAAAGGGAUCACAUUUCACAGCGGGAAGACAAACAACAAAGCCGGACGACAAUAAGGAUUAAGUUAAUAUUCUGGCUCCGGAUGGACAACAACUUCAAAACCAAAAUCCUAGUGGUCCAUUGAGCUACAUAGAAGAAAGUGAAAAUACAAACCCUCUGGAAUAUCGUGCGGAUGGGAGAACCUUUGAAGGUCAAACGAGGAGCUCCCCAAGAAACGUCACAGGGACAAGGCCUCUCUUCUUCCCGCUCGUCAGCCGAAGGAAGCCGUCAAUCUCCUCGUUUUUCCCGAUGCAGAUCUGUAGAGGGAGAGGGAGGACAAACAGGAGGGCACAGAACAGGAGCAGGGAAAUAAAAAUGCCUAGAGCGAGUGUGUGCAUGCAGAAGAUAGGAAAAAUGUGUGCAUCUCCUGGCUGCGCACCUGAUUCUCUUUCACAGUCAUCUGGCCUUUGUCUCGAUUGCCAUGGAAAGCAGCGGUGACCUUCCACACCCGCUCACCCGGUCGGACCCGCUGGACAAAGUUGGCUGGGAAAAAUCCCACCUUGUCUCUACUUUUCCCCUGGAUUGACUUAGACAUGAUGGCCUGAAGAGAUGUUUAAACUGAUGGAUCAUCAGAAGCUGCGACUUUCGUGAAAAGAGAGGACAAGGCAAAGAGGAUGUGCCAGGAAGACACUGGGAUUUGUGUUUGACAUGCCAGAAGGUGUUGGCACUCCAAACUGCUGACUCAUGCACCAGGUCUGCAGGGAUUAUUGGGAUUAUUAGUUUUUAAUGUGUCCUUGGCAUUAUUUUAAAAAAUGUUGCUCCUGUCAGCAGAAACCAGAGGACUGCACGAGCUGAGUGACUAACUCUGGCAGAGAUCACAGAUUUAAACAGCAGCCUGUGAUUACUUUUAGGUUGAUAUAGCAUGCAGCAGAAAUAUAUCCUAUAUCUACAAACCUGACAUGGCACCCUAAAGGAAUUGUAUUGCAUCCAAAGACCCAAAACCUGAAUUUCUGUUUAAAUACAAAAUAUCUUAUGAGGUUGAAUUGUAGCAGUGCAUCAACUGGAAUUAUUACUUACUUGGAAUAAUUUAACCUUUUUUCCAUUACAUUUCUUUAUAUUAAAGUACUGGCAUUGACAGUUAUAAUGAAAAAUGUAAAAUGUUGAUGUUGUUUAUGUUUUCAAAACCUCACUAAAUCUGGAUAGUUCCAGUCAGAAAUGCAAAUA
Poeciliopsis prolifica (blackstripe livebearer) is the source of this 1278-nucleotide long non-coding RNA. RefSeq lists it as uncharacterized. The transcript is spliced from 6 exons. Lineage: Eukaryota; Metazoa; Chordata; Actinopteri; Cyprinodontiformes; Poeciliidae. The record is from RefSeq and is a predicted model, not a curated record.